GUAGGGGUGAAAGGCCAAUCAAACUCCGUGAUAGCUGGUUCUCCCCGAAAUGCAUUUAGGUGCAGCGUCGCAUUGUGUGCUUGUUGGAGGUAGAGCUACUGGUUGGUUGAGCGGGACGAUAAUCUUAGCAACAUCAGCUAAACUCCGAAUGCCAGCAAUGUGGGUGCGGCAGUGAGACUGCGGGGGAUAAGCUCCGUUGGUCGAGAGGGAAACAGCCCAGAUCGUCGGUUAAGGCCCCUAAGGGGGUGCUCAGUGGGAAAGGAUGUGGGAUCGCGAAGACAGCCAGGAGGUUGGCUUAGAAGCAGCCAUCCUUGAAAGAGUGCGUAAUAGCUCACUGGUCGAGUGGUUCUGCGCCGAUAAUGUAGCGGGGCUUAAGUACACCGCCGAAACCGCGGCAACACACGUGAAAGUGUGUUGGGUAGGGGAGCGUCGUGCAUGUGUUGAAGCUAUUUGGUGACAGGUGGUGGAGUGUGUGCGAGUGAGAAUGCAGGCAUGAGUAACGAUUGAUGUGUGAGAAACAUAUCCGCCGGAUGACUAAGGGUUCCUGGGUGAAGUUUGUCUUCCCAGGGUGAGUCGGGGCCUAAGGCGAGGCCGACAGGCGUAGUCGAUGGAUGACGGGUUGAUAUUCCCGUACCCGUGUGCGUGCGACAAGUGAUGAAUCUUAUGGUACUAACCGCCCGCCUACGUGCACUGGUCUUUUUGGUUGGUGUGUGUGGGUGCGUGGGAUCUUCGUGGGUAGUAGUCAAGUGAUGGGGUGACGCAGAGUGGUAGCUAGGCUUCCUUAUUGGAUUGGAGUGCAAGCGUGUGGCCUGUGGGGUUGGGAAAUCCGCCCCACAUAUAAAGGUGAGGCGUGAUGCGGACACCAUGUUGUGGUGGUAGUUAGUGUGCCUGUGCUGUCUAGAAAAGCCUCUAGCGAGUGCGUGCAUGGCCCGUACCGGAAACCGACACAGGUGGUCAGGUAGAGAAUACUAAGGCGUUCGGGUGAACUGUGGUUAAGGAACUCGGCAAAAUGCCCCCGUAACUUCGGGAGAAGGGGGACCAUUACUGGUUGCUGACAGCAAGAAAGCUGGUGGUGGUCGCAGAGGAGAGAGGGAAGCGACUGUUUAUUAAAAACACAGGUCCGUGCGAAAACGUGGAAGUUGAGGUAUACGGACUGACGCCUGCCCGGUGCUGGAAGGUUAAGAGGACCCGUGAGCACGCCUUAUGUGUGCGAGGCGGAGAAUUGAAGCCCCAGUAAACGGCGGUGGUAACUAUAACCAUCCUAAGGUAGCGAAAUUCCUUGUCGGGUAAGUUCCGACCUGCACGAAUGGCGUAACGACUUCCCUGCUGUCUCAACCACAGGCCCGGUGAAAUUGCAGUACGAGUAAAGAUGCUCGUUUCGCGCGGCAGGACGAAAAGACCCCGGGACCUUUACUAUAGCUUGGUAUUGGUGUUUGGUCAUGCUUGUGUAGGAUAGGUGGGAGACUGUGAAGCCGCAACGCUAGUUGUGGUGGAGUCGCAGGUGAAAUACCACUCUGGUGUGAUUGGGUACCUGAACCUUGGCCCGUGAUCCGGGUUGGGGACAGUGCCUGGUGGGUAGUUUAACUGGGGCGGUUGCCUCCUAAAUGGUAACGGAGGCGCCCAAAGGUUUCCUCAGUCUGGUUGGCAAUCAGAUGGUGAGUGUAAGUGUAUAAGGGAGCUUGACUGUGACACUGACGGGUGGAGCAGGUGCGAAAGCAGGGACUAGUGAUCCGGCAUCUACGUGUGGUUGUGGUGUCGCUCAACGGAUAAAAGGUACCCCGGGGAUAACAGGCUGAUCUUCCCCAAGAGUUCAUAUCGACGGGAUGGUUUGGCACCUCGAUGUCGGCUCGUCGCAUCCUGGGGCUGGAGUAGGUCCCAAGGGUUGGGCUGUUCGCCCAUUAAAGCGGCACGCGAGCUGGGUUUAGAACGUCGUGAGACAGUUCGGUCUCUAUCCGCCGCGCGCGUUGAAACUUGAAGAAGGCUGUCCCUAGUACGAGAGGACCGGGAUGGACGUACCUCUGGUAUGCCAGUUGUCACGCCAGUGGCAUGGCUGGUUAGCUACGUGCGGGAGGGAUAACCGCUGAAAGCAUCUAAGCGGGAAGCCUGU
This 2107-nucleotide ribosomal RNA is filed under the name human metagenome. RNAcentral describes it as "bacterial LSU rRNA". It matches the Rfam family "Bacterial large subunit ribosomal RNA", at positions 815 to 2797 of the family's 2925-position model. The record is from RNAcentral.